AGUGAACGCUGGCGGUAGGCCUAACACAUGCAAGUCGAACGGCAGCACAGGAGAGCUUGCUCUCUGGGUGGCGAGUGGCGGACGGGUGAGGAAUACAUCGGAAUCUACUCUGUCGUGGGGGAUAACGUAGGGAAACUUACGCUAAUACCGCAUACGACCUACGGUUGAAAGCAGGGGAUCUUCGGACCUUGCGCGAUUGAAUGAGACGAUGUCGGAUUAGCUAGUUGGCGGGGUAAAGGCCCACCAAGGCGACGAUCCGUAGCUGGUCUGAGAGGAUGAUCAGCCACACUGGAACUGAGACACGGUCCAGACUCCUACGGAAGGCAGCAGUGGGGAAUAUUGGACAAUGGGCGCAAGCCUGAUCCAGCCAUACCGCGUGGGUGAAGAAGGCCUUCGGGUUGUAAAGCCCUUUUGUUGGGAAAGAAAUCCAGCUGGCUAAUACCCGGUUGGGAUGACGGUACCCAAAGAGUAAGCACCGGCUAACUUCGUGCCAGCCGCCGCAGUAA
This 506-nucleotide ribosomal RNA is filed under the name uncultured bacterium. Its description in RNAcentral is "partial 16S ribosomal RNA". It matches the Rfam family "Bacterial small subunit ribosomal RNA", at positions 29 to 523 of the family's 1533-position model. The record is from RNAcentral.